CUCGAUCACAGAGACGACUGAAACAUUAAAUAUGAAGCUUUGUGCGGCUUUAACUGACCUCAGACGCGUUCACACAACAACUCUCAAACUAAAGCUGCUGCCCUGUGAUUCACGUCUGUGUGUGUGUUCAUGUUCAGGAGAUGUUCCUGGAGAUCGAGCAGAAGGUCGCCGGUCUGUCGGCUCUCGGCCUGGCAGCCGCCGCCGACCUGCAGCAGGAUGAACUGGGAGCUGUGGCAUCCCAGCAGGAAGCUGCCGAGCUGCUCUCAUCCAAACUGGAGCUCCUGAAGGCCAACCUGGUCCGAUUCCAGCAGCUGCUGCAGGACCGACAGGGAGAGGAGAGAGGCGUCACUCACAGAGAGCUUCAGGAACAGUCCGUUCCUCAGCCAGAGCGCCACCUGGAGUCCAAGUUGAAGCGCAGCAGCAGCGUCCAGGAGAUCUUCUCCUCACCGAGGAACAAACUCCUGCGGCAGAGCAGCCUGCAGCAGCAGAAGGAGCUGGAGCAGCAGCUGACUGAGCAGAGAGGACUGACUCAGGCCAUCGCCAGGCAGGGCAGCCGAGCUCGACUCCACAGCCAGGACUCAGAGGACCAGGUGUCACACAGGUAACGUACGGCAUCACCACUCUGUUAUUAUAUCACAUUUUGUACAUUUUAAUAUCACUGCAUGUAAGAUAUAUUACAUUUUUAUGGUAAUGCAGUGCCUUUAUUCAAAUUCAUCCAUGAAGUCCUUCAUAGUUUUGUGUUUUUAUAACUCCUGAUGAAUCAAAAUCAGUGAGUUAAAUUGUGAGUAUUACUUUCUUUAACAGAAUAAGGCUAAAAUAGAAUAAAAAAGUAAGAAAUGCCAUUUACUGACACAUGUUAGCCUCAUUUAUUUUCCAAUUUCCAGAGAGAAACCGACACUAAGUUUAAAAGUAUACCUCCAAGAAAGAGGGAAAGAAAGAAAGAUGGAGUUAAUUUUCAGCCUCUUGUCUCCCUGCAGGCGUCCUCCUGCUGAGCCUGAUGUGGAGGCCGACUCUGCUCAGAGGAAGUGGGAUCGCCUCCACAGUCGGCUGCUGAGAGCGGAGGAGAGCUGGCUGCGUCUUCCCUCCGAGGUAAGACCUUCAUCGUGACAGCUGAAGAGCUUGAUUAUCACGCUUCAAAUACAAGAGAGAAAAUCGCUGUUCUCGCCGCGCUUGAUUAUCACCUUCUUUGAGCCGAAGGCACUUUGUUGUGUCUUCGGUGUGAUGGGGACUCCUGCAGGGUUUGAUGAAAGUUGUGUGUUUCUCUCUCUCUCUCUCUCUCUCUGAAGGUGACAGACUCAUCUCUGAGGCGUAGUGAUGGAACAGCAGGACGCAUGAUUGGCACACAAACCCUGAAAGAGCUCCAAACUCACAUCAGCCACCUGAGAGAGCUGGGACACACGGCCGCCGAGAGCCGGGAUCAGGUGCAGGCAGAAUGUGUAUGUUGGGAGAUGUGACUCCUGGAUAGCUGCUGGUCGUGUAGUCACGACCGGAAGUUCACGACCUGAAGAGGUGUCUCGUACCUCACCCUCUUCAUCGUCUUCCUCCUGAGUCGUGUUGUUAAAAACAGGCAUCAUGAAUCUGUGUCAACCUUCUCAGUCGUGGUGUUAAUAGUUCGACUACCGUUCUGUCUCCAGGCGUCUCCUGUGGACGGCUCCCAUCAGGCGCUGGACGAGGGUUUGUUUCAUGUGCUGUACGGCGCGUCCCUGUCUCUGUCCUCCAUCAUCCCCCUGCUGGACUCACCUGUCGGGGUGACACACGAGGAAGAAGCACAGCUGAGGCUGCUGCAACUGCAGGUGUGACUCACCAACAAACACUAAUCCACUGAGAGAGAAAGUUAAAAAAUGUUUCAGCAGAUAAUUGUGGAAAAAUGCAAAUUAUUAAGUUGGAACCAGAUCAGAUAGGAGACACUGCUGUUCAUCAGAUGUCACGAUCCAUCUCUCUUUACCCAUCAGCCAUUGUGUUUGGGGUUUCCUUUUCAGAGUCUGUCUGCAGAGCUGGCUACGCUUCGCAGUGAGCUGGCCUCUCAGGGGUCAAAGGUGAGCAGAGUGCUGGGGUCAGCGUGCGGUCAGCAGUGUGUGGAUGACGUGUGCAGAGUGCUUCCUGUGGUUCUGACUGCACUGAGCAGCACCGAGAAGCAGAUCCGAAACCUGCGGGAGGAGAAUUCAAAGCAGCAGGUCAGAUAUCAGCGCUAACUCUGAUUAACUGCACCAGUCAGCACGCGCUAAUCCACCCUGAAAUAUUUAAAUAAUGUUUUUAUCUUGACUGUAUUAUCUUUACUGUGUGAGUCGUCCUGUAACAUCUACCUUAACAUAUUUAUACAACCUAGAGUUUCUUCAAAAUAAAACCCCUGUUGUCUAAAGAACCAGUGUCGUGUGUUUAACCCACAGAUUCAACUAAAUGAGUUGCAUGCAGCCUUCACUUCUAACCAGACGACCGUUCGCCAAAUACUUAAUGAAUUCAGUGGAACCACGCGCCUUAACGAACAACAUCAGGUACUGUUUCCCCGGAGACGUUUCCCUUUAAGAAGCCGCUCAUGAUCAGAGCGAUCAGAGCGAAACGCUGCAGAGAUUCAUCAGUUGACAUGAAAUAAAUCGCCAACUAACUUCUUUGGACAAUCUUAAAAAAGGUAUUUCUUAAAGGUCAAGUGUUGUAGAAGGAGUGAAACAAGUACAGUACACAGUUUUAUGAACAGGAAUAGAAAAUGUUACCCAACACUUGUACGCAACUUGAGGAACAGCCAGAAAAGUAAACGUGUUCAGACGAGUGCAUUAAAAUGCAGUCGCAAAGUUUUUCAACUGUCAAAGUGUGUGUGUGUGUUUUUCUUCCAGGCGGUGGUUCAGGUGCAGGAGUCUCUGCAGCAGCAGGUGCAGCAGGUGAGCUCCCUGCUGCAGGAGGCCGACAGACACAACCUGCCUGCUGCUGUCCUCCACCAGGCCACACAGCUGCAGGUGUGCUAGCUGCUGUAUCUUUGUCACGUGCAGGGAAACUGCACGCAAACAUGUUUAAAUCUUGAUAUUGUCCGUCUCCUCCCUGCAGGGUGAGCUGGAUGGUGCUCUGGGUGGAGUCCGGUCCCACGCUGAUGAUCUGAGGAGCAGCGUGGAGCUGCAGCAGCAGUACGAGCGGCUGGUCCUCAGCCUGCAGGAGCUGCUCGCUCUGGGCUCUGAACGUCUCACACAGCAGCCCGACUCAGAGCUCCACAGCAGAGCUCAGCUCCAGCAGCAGCUCAGCAGCCACACGGUCAGACAGGAAACACAGCUCACAGUCAUUUGUGAUGCAUGUAAUCAAGAAAAUAACAUUCUAAUCAUGACAUUCUCUUCUUAUUGUUAGAAGUUCUUCCAGUUCCUGAGCCAGCACUUUAAGAUCCUGCAGUACCUGACCCAGAGAGUCCCAGAGAGCGCCCUCCAGAGGUGGGAGGGUGUAGUGACCGGCCUGCAGGGGGAGGUGGCCCGACUGCAGCAGCACGGACUGGAGAGAGGGAUCAGGAUGGAGGAGAAACUACAGGUAGUGCAUGGAGUGCAGUUUAUUUAUCAAGAACAAAUCAGGUGAAGUUACUCAAAACCAUCAGGACUGAGAAUUAUCACUUACUAAUAAUCACAGAAUAGUUCUUAUAACAUCUCUUCCUCUGCCUCAGAUGUGGUCACAGUGGGAGCAGGACAGCACCUGGUCAGACUCCCUGCUAAAAGGCAUCGAGACUUCAUUUCCCAAGAUGCACGAGAGGGGUGAUUCUGAGGAGCAGAUAUCAGAGAAGCUCUCAGUCUACCAGGUAAUCUUCUGUUAAUACAUGUGCUCUUUCUGACCGUCAGGGGAUGAUUCUGAUUUACCCACCAGAGGACAGUGAGCGUGUUUUCCGUUGUUCCUUUCGG
Molecule: long non-coding RNA, 3863 nt
Organism: Sparus aurata (gilthead seabream)
Lineage: Eukaryota; Metazoa; Chordata; Actinopteri; Spariformes; Sparidae
Source: Ensembl